GGGCGCAUAGCGCAGUGGUAGCGCGUCCGCUUUGCAAGCGGAAGGCCUCGGGUUCGUGUCCAACUCUUUGCUCG
This 74-nucleotide transfer RNA is filed under the name Phytophthora infestans T30-4. RNAcentral describes it as "tRNA-Ala". It matches the Rfam family "tRNA", at positions 1 to 62 of the family's 71-position model. From Rfam's summary of the family: Transfer RNA (tRNA) molecules are approximately 80 nucleotides in length. Lineage: Eukaryota; Oomycota; Peronosporomycetes; Peronosporales; Peronosporaceae. The record is from RNAcentral.